This 497-nucleotide ribosomal RNA is filed under the name uncultured bacterium. RNAcentral's name for it is "bacterial SSU rRNA". It matches the Rfam family "Bacterial small subunit ribosomal RNA", at positions 8 to 523 of the family's 1533-position model. The record is from RNAcentral.
AGAGUUUGAUCCUGGCUCAGAGUGAACGCUGGCGGCGUGCCUAACACAUGCAAGUCGAACGAUGAUGGAGGAGCUUGCUCUUCCUGAUUAGUGGCGCACGGGUGAGUAACGCAUAGGUAAUGUGCCCCUUAGUUCGGGAUAGCCACUGGAAACGGUGAUUAAUACCGGAUACUCCUUCUCAUUAUAAGAUGAGUCGGGAAAGUUUUUCGCUAAGGGAUCAGCCUAUGUCCUAUCAGCUAGUUGGUGAGGUAAUGGCUCACCAAGGCAAUGACGGGUAUCUGGUUUGAGAGGAUGAUCAGACACACUGGAACUGAGACACGGUCCAGACUCCUACGGGAGGCAGCAGUGAGGAAUAUUGCACAAUGGAGGAAACUCUGAUGCAGCAACGCCGCGUGGAGGAUGACGCAUUUCGGUGUGUAAACUCCUUUUAAGAGGGAAGAUUAUGACGGUACCUCUUGAAUAAGCACCGGCUAACUCCGUGCCAGCAGCCGCGGUAA